AGGGGAGUAGUAUAACUUCAUUUAAAUUACGCCAAUCUGCUAGAUUGGAGACUCUUCAAGCGGAUUCCCCU
RNAcentral lists this transfer RNA (71 nucleotides) under Phallusia fumigata. RNAcentral describes it as "transfer RNA-Ser (AGY)". The record is from RNAcentral. Lineage: Eukaryota; Metazoa; Chordata; Ascidiacea; Phlebobranchia; Ascidiidae.